Molecule: unclassified non-coding RNA, 479 nt
Filed under: Hevea brasiliensis (rubber tree)
Lineage: Eukaryota; Viridiplantae; Streptophyta; Magnoliopsida; Malpighiales; Euphorbiaceae
Source: RNAcentral
CAUUUCGAGGGUUUUAUGAGAAGGUGAUUCUGGAUGGCAAAUGCCCAUAUUUUCCAUUUUUACUUUUAUUUUUUGUUGCUGUAUGAUUUGUUUAUGUAAAAAUUUGGUGGUCUGAACCUCCCACACAUGUAUACAUUUAAACAUAUUUUUUACUUUAUGAAGUUAUGAACCAAAUACUGAGUUGGCGUCUUGUCUUCCAACUUAGUUGUAAAUUUUAUAAUCAUAUUUCUAUUGAGAAAUGUAAGAUAUGUAAAGAAAGAUUGAAGUUGAGAAGUAAAACAAAUGUUUUAUUAGAGAUUAGUGUUGUUUGAAAUAUAAAGAAAAACCAGUAAAGAUGAAGACGGGUGCCUUAGAAAUUGGAAAAAAAAAAAGGAACAGAUUGGUGAGCAGUUACAGAGAACAAAAAAUAGGAAUAGGGGGGGAAAGAGACGUUCUCCAUUAAAAACAGGGAAAUGGCAAGAGAGAGAGAGAGAGAGAGA